RNAcentral lists this ribosomal RNA (472 nucleotides) under uncultured bacterium. RNAcentral's name for it is "bacterial SSU rRNA". It matches the Rfam family "Bacterial small subunit ribosomal RNA", at positions 355 to 825 of the family's 1533-position model. The record is from RNAcentral.
UGGGGAAUAUUGCGCAAUGGGGGAAACCCUGAUCCAGCGACGCCGCGUGUGUGAAGAAGGCCUGCGGGUUGUAAAGCACUUUCGGUGGGAACGAAAUAUGCCGGGCUAAUACCCCGGUAGGCUGACGUUACUCAAUGAAGAAGCACCGGCUAACUCUGUGCCAGCAGCCGCGGUAAUACAGAGGGUGCGAGCGUUAAUCGGAAUUACUGGGCGUAAAGCGCACGUAGGUGGCGACGUAAGUCGGGUGUGAAAGCCCCGGGCUCAACCUGGGAACCGCAUUCGAGACUGCGUUGCUGGAGUACGGAAGAGGAGGGCGGAAUUCCCGGUGUAGCGGUGAAAUGCGUAGAUAUCGGGAGGAACAUCAGUGGCGAAGGCGGCCCUCUGGUCCAGUACUGACACUCAAGUGCGAAAGCGUGGGGAGCAAACAGGAUUAGAUACCCUUGUAGUCCCUGAGCGGGCUGGCAAGGCGCAU